AAUCAACGCUGGCGGCGUGCCUCAGACAUGCAAGUCGAACGAUUAAACUCGCCUUCGGGUGAGAUAUAAAGUGGCGCACGGGUGAGUAACACGUAGGUAAUGUACCUUUGGGUGGGAAUAACUUAGGGAAACUUAAGCUAAUACCGCAUAAUGCAGCGGCUCCUUCGGGAGACAGUUGUUAAAGAUUUACCGCCUAAAGAGCAGCCUGCGGCAGAUUAGCUAGUUGGUAAGGAACGGCUUACCAAGGCUACGAUCUGUAUCCGACCUGAGAGGGUGGUCGGACACACUGACACUGAAUAACGGGUCAGACUCCUACGGGAGGCAGCAGUCGGGAAUUUUGGGCAAUGGGCGAAAGCCUCGACCCAGCAACGCCGCGUGAAGGAUGAAGUCUCUCGGGAUGUAACUUACGAAAGAAUAGGAAGAAUAAAUGACGGUACUAUUUAUAAGGUCCGGCU
Molecule: ribosomal RNA, 455 nt
Filed under: uncultured bacterium
Lineage: Bacteria
Description: bacterial SSU rRNA
Rfam family: Bacterial small subunit ribosomal RNA
Source: RNAcentral